GUUGCCACGUUUCCUUAUCACUUCUUCUCGCCCGGUCUGUACUUGAGGAACUGGACGGAGAACUGAUAAGGGCUUGUGGCUAA
This 83-nucleotide microRNA precursor is filed under the name Lingula anatina. Its description in RNAcentral is "mir-184 microRNA precursor family". It matches the Rfam family "mir-184 microRNA precursor family". The record is from Rfam by way of RNAcentral. Lineage: Eukaryota; Metazoa; Brachiopoda; Lingulata; Lingulida; Lingulidae.